GUGGGGAAUAUUGGACAAUGGGCGAAAGCCUGAUCCAGCCAUGCCGCGUGAGUGAUGAAGGCCUUAGGGUUGUAAAGCUCUUUCAGUAGGGAAGAUAAUGACGGUACCUACAGAAGAAACCCCGGCUAACUUCGUGCCAGCAGCCGCGGUAAUACGAAGGGGGCUAGCGUUGUUCGGAUUUACUGGGCGUAAAGCGCACGUAGGCGGAUUGGUCAGUUAGAGGUGAAAUCCUGGAGCUCAACUCCAGAACUGCCUUUAAUACUGCCAGUCUAGAGUCCAGAAGAGGUGAGUGGAACUCCUAGUGUAGAGGUGGAAUUCGUAGAUAGUAGGAAGAACACCAGUGGCGAAGGCGGCUCACUGGUCUGGUACUGACGCUGAGGUGCGAAAGCGUGGGGAGCAAACAGGAUUAGAAACCCUGGUAGUCC
RNAcentral lists this ribosomal RNA (425 nucleotides) under uncultured bacterium. RNAcentral describes it as "bacterial SSU rRNA". It matches the Rfam family "Bacterial small subunit ribosomal RNA", at positions 354 to 796 of the family's 1533-position model. The record is from RNAcentral.